CACGGAAUGGAGAAUAAAUCAGUACUAAGGGAGAGCUGUUUCUCUCUUGCAGCACUCAGGAAAACCAUCACAUUUUAAGGGUUAAGAACUGGAACUUCUUCACUGCUUUGACACAGAAUCAGUCCUGCAAAGUUCUACUUGAAUUGCUGGCCAAAGGAGGAGAUGCAUUCACUCAACCAAUAUAUCACAUUAGAGUGGUUUGCCUCUCAGUGUUAGUGGCAAUUGCAGUAGGAGUGCUGCACUGACUGCCAUCUGGAACUGGUGCAUUUAACUACCAACUAACAGCCUCCUGUGGGGUUUUUGCAUGUUUGGUGUGCAAUAUCCAUGAAGAUAGCACAUCUGCAUAAGUGAAAUAUGAUUUGUGCUCCAUUCCUGCUGCCUGCUGUGCAGAAAAGAAAGGAACAACUGGC
This is a long non-coding RNA of Gallus gallus (chicken), 410 nucleotides long. The record is from Ensembl. NCBI's taxonomy places the organism in Eukaryota, Metazoa, Chordata, Aves, Galliformes, Phasianidae.